Long non-coding RNA from Denticeps clupeoides (denticle herring), 4895 nucleotides. NCBI's taxonomy places the organism in Eukaryota, Metazoa, Chordata, Actinopteri, Clupeiformes, Denticipitidae. The record is from Ensembl.
GAGGAUGCCCAGUGGUAGCAGUGCCGAGAUGAUGACAUGGCGAUGUGACCCCGAUACGGCCAGGGCAGUUUCUGCGAGAGGCGUCGGGGAGUCGCUCUCCUUCCAGGCUCAGAGGCAGGCAGGCAUUGGUAUUUUUCUUCCUGCUCCUCCACUCUGUCUUCACACUCCAGUGGACACUCUGAAGAGGACAUGGAGCUAAAGUGUCAGUCUCUCCCUCUCUCCCUGUGCUCUGUCGCUCUCUCUCACCCCAAGGUGCAGCGUGCUCAUCUUCCUAAACCCAGUAGAAGCUUUCAGCCAACGAUAUGCACACCAACCCAAACCUGUUACAACCUGAAGCCACAAACACCAGAAAAACGUCUGGUUCAGACGUCCGCGGCAUCAGGACCAAAGAGGCUCCGACUCACAGGAUUACCAUACAAAUGCAGAACCCCAGCGGCACCAACAGCUUUUUUAAGCCUAACAAAUCUACAAGACACCCGGUACCCGCUAAGUCCUACAGCGGAGGAACACACCGCCUCUGAUCCACACAAUCCCAUCUCACUCAGGGUCCCGACACUUUCAUGUACUGAGCAAAAAAAAAAAAAAAAAAAAACCACGGCCCCUCACUGGGGAGAGCUUUGUGGUGCACCCAGGUAUACUGCUGCUGCCAGGACAUGAAACGCAUGUUUCAUGUGUGUGUGUGUGUGUGUGUGUGUCUGUGUGUAGCAUGCCUGAAUGGCUGUAACCAUACAAUGGAAAAAAAGUAGCACAGUUAAUAUUGCUCUCUUUCUAAAAGACUAAAUUAUUGAAGAUUUCAGCGAGAGAUGCACAAAAGUGCCACACCUCAUAUGGUCGACACAGACCCACAAAGAACCAACGUCUGCAGCUCCUGCCUUCCAGCUUGUUUUGUUUUUUCCUGGACAUUUAAGAGCAUAAGAUCCCUCUCCCUGCUUCGUCUGUGCAGCAACUCUUGACGCCCCAAACCACCACCCCCCCUCCACAAACUCCCCCAUCCAUCCUGCUCACCUCUGGGCUGCUGGGAGACUUAUCAAAAGUGUCCCAGCCUCCGUGAAAAGAUGGCACGUCUGAUUCGCCCUGAUAAAAUAAGAACCAUGUUAGUGCUUGUGGGGCACCCGUGGUGCAUCGAUCACUGAGGGGUGGGAGAGAAAAGGAGCGGGCAGGGGAGGAAAAUUGGAUGACGGGCGCGGCGGAUGAGAAAUAAGGAUUUUUGUGCUCAUUUCCACAGAGAGGCAGGAGCCGUCAGAAUCACUGAAUAACCAAAGAGAAGCGAUUCAUUUUCCUCAGAUGAGCACUAUCCUGCCACCCCUUGUGCUCCCCCAUAAUUUCUCUCAAUCUCUCUCACCCCCUGUGUGUCUGAUGAUUUAUGUGCAGCUCACAGCUCAGUUAAACACGGCAGCAUGAAACACAUGCAUGCACGCGCACACUCGCAAAUACACACACACGGCUCCUUGUCAGGUAAUAACAACCUAACACAUCCACCGUGAAUGUGUAACUGCGCCUGUGUAUCUUUAAACCUAACAUCCAUGAAAAAAAAUAAUAAAAUAUGAGCACCAGGAAAUGUCCCUGCUUUUAAACGUCCCUACUAGAAAAACACGCACACUUUCUUGCACAGCUGGAGACAAGUUGUGUGUCCCAAUUUCCUCCACAGUACACAAUACAGAAUAGUGAAUAAAUGGUACUUUAACCCAACAUUCGCUGUUGUCGCUGGGUGGGGCAGCCAUCUUGGACUUGAAGUCCAUCUGACUGAUAUCAAUCUGUCAUCAGCGGCUUUUCCAAAUGGACUUUCUGAUGGGAAACAUUCUGACUUUCCAAGUCCAAUGGAACAUCUGAAAUUUGAGGACACCUCUGUAAUCAUAAUUUAUUUAAAUAAUGAAAGUGUUAUGCCUUACUUGACAAGAGCAGACUUUUUUGCGCAUUUAGUCAUCAUUUACAUAAAAUACAUUACCUAAAAAAUUUGAUGAUUAUGAAAUUAGGUUUUGCCUAUUAUGAAAAACUGUGUUACUAUUCUAUGCAAUUCUGCAUGGAAAAAGGUUUUAAAUGUAAAGGUUUUUGAAUACACCUUACCCCAUAUUUCACCCAAAUUACUAAAUGUAAUCAUUUGUCCUCUGCUUGCUCUAAAGAUAAACCGAGGGGUGUGUGAAAUGUCAUCACUAACCUUAAGGGGACUGUGUCCCCAUAAUACAGCACACACAUACACACAAUGACCCCCUAACAGCCUUUGGUGAUGUAAAAUCAGUGCAUUAAUGUGUCACACCUUUAUGACGACAUCGUCUGUGUGUUUAAAUUGGCCUGAGUGAUGCACACGCUUCUCCCUUUAACCUCAUUAGUGUCAUCAGGCUGAUUAGUGCUGCACUCGGGGCAGGCGACCCUGAGAGGACUCCUUCUGAGCGUGUGUGUGUGUGUGUGUGUGUGACUUCUGUGCUGAGGACUAAAUUAAGUCAGAAUGACACACCAAUGUAAGAGCGUGUGAACUCAGAUGGAGGGGAGGGCGUCGGAGGAGGAGCAUCUGGGCGUCACGUGACCAAGGCCUCCUCUCCCUUUUAGUCUCCCUCCUUCUUUCUCCAUCCUUCUCCUGAUCUGUCCCUAUACCCCGCCUCACUCCCUCUUCUAUCCCUCUUUCUCUCCCUUCAUCUCUGACUCCUCGUCCUGGACACUGUUUGCUCUAUUGAUAACGCCUCUUGAUGGGGCCAAAAUCAGAGAAAUUAUUUUCCCCUGGACUGACACGGGCUGCUGAGGCCGUCUGUCUGCAGGCUGCAGGCUCAUGCCGGCGCACAUAAAUGAGCUGCGCUCGCCUCUCCAGCCACUCACGACGCACACGCAUUACUCCUCGUGCGAUGCACGCUCACCGUGAACAAAUGGAUGCGGGCAGAUCAGAGCAGCAAUAGAGACACUUAGAGAAAACAACACUGACACGUAUACUCACACGCCCGGCUUGACAGAGGAGCGAGAGGAGAAAAUACCUGUCUCAUUCAUUAUUGACUGUGACACACCAGCCAUUAUGUAGUUAGAAUGAGAUUCUUUUUUCCCUCUUCCCACAGGUCUGCAGUGCUCUACUUCUAACACUCCCUAGAAACACUAUAGACUCCUCUGUGAGCACCAGGGUCUUUUCAGAUGGAUUAUUUGCAUUGCAGAACAUUGCAGAAGUAUUGUGAAAUUGUGCUUUGUUCUGUUAGUUGAAUUCUGAAAUGCUAACUUUUCACGUAAAUGUUUUUUGCUUUUAGUUUAUUUUAAUAAUUAUGGCUACAUGAAUCAGGAAUGUUCACAAUACAGAUAUGUCCAACUGAAAACAAUCUACAUUUUUGCAGACAAUAUUUGGUUGAAUGUUUAUCUUUUUUAAUUCAAUUAUUACUGACUCUCGGCAAUCUUCUUACUUAACACUCUAGUAAGUCUAGUAUAAUUCAAGUAUAUUGACCUACAUAAUUAUGUUUUUAAUACAUCAGAUUCCCAGCAAGUCCCAAGAAGCAUUAAAUGGAACACCCUAAGAGAUCCAUGAGCAGGAUGCUGUCCAACACUUGGGCAGUGUUAGACAGCAGUCCAUGGUCAUGUAAAAACACCGUAUUGAAACCACUCCAACUUGAUGUUACCUGGCUGAAAGAGGCAUGGCACAAUAGAGGUUAAAAAUUUAUUAACACCGGUAAAUAAUUAUUGUAGUUACAUGUGAAUAUUGAAUGUAAAAAGGUACCAAGGUUACAGAGAAAACAAAAAUGAGAAGAAAGAGUAAAGGGGGAGAGAGAGAGAGAGAAAGAGGCAAAGCCAUGGGAAAUAAUGAGAUGAUAGAGCAGGCUCGAAAACCAGAAGAUCCGGUUUCGAUGGAAAGACAGCUGGGAAAGACCUGGCCUACAGGAAGUUGUCACAGACCAAUCAGAACCUGUUGUUUCUGAUGUCACGCCCCUCGGUGCCUCCCAUCUGGGGAAGACAAAGAGAGUGGGUCCUGACGGCCGACACCUCACACGUUGCCGUCCGACAAAAGGCAUGAAAAACAGAGGUGUUGAAUCUUCAUGCACAACAAUUGGCACAGGAAUGUCACAUUUCUUCUUUUAGACGGUCGCUAUGCAAAACAAAAGCAUGGUCCUGCGACACCCAAUCUUACAGUCAAGAUAAAGUUUCUUGGAGAAAUGAAGGUUGCUGAUCAUAAAAAGGUCUGAGGUUUGUGUCUUGCAUCUGGUUUUGACUCUUCAGUACAUGAUGUGAUGCUUGUGUCUGCAGCUAGAAUGAAAUGGUGGACAAAAAUGGGCUGGAGCCAUGAGUUGAGAAAUUGUGGGGGAAUGGGACACCUUCAGACCUUCUGCAUGGAGGUGUGACUGGAUAGAAGAUUGCUCUUCACACAGGACAAUCAUUUCCUGGAGAAAAAAAAUCUACACUAAUCCAAUAAUCUACCGUAGCAGAGACCUAAAGUCCAGAUGAGAACCAGUGGCAGGAAUUGAAAAUUGUUCUUCACCAACGGAACUCGUCAAAUCUGAUUGAGCUCAAAUUAUUUUGUAAAAGGAGAAAAUUACAGCACUAGCAGGACUUAACACACAAUUGGGUCUCAGAAAAUUACAAUAUUGGGAAAUAGGUGUUUAUUUAAACUAAUUGUAGAAAAAUUUUAUAGUGAUGAUUUGAAUAUCAAAUUAUUAAAAUAUCAAUAAAAAAGGAUUCACAAUAGUGUCACAAGUAUUUUCAUUUACACACUGAAUACUAAGUGUUGUAGGAUUCCCAUAUUGAAAACCCAGAAACAAAUAUACUUAUUGCCCAUAUUCUCAUUUUUUUAGAUGCACUAGUACUCUCAAUGGUAAAUCCUGCAAAGUUAAAUACAUUUAGUAAUAAAUUGAAAAAAUUCAAUUUUUGUGCAUUACACCAUAUUCCUUUAUUCAAUAUAAGAAAAUCCAAGGGGAUAAGUACUUUUUCAUCGGCAC